GAAAGCAAAACCAACAUGUUAAUUGAAGGAGGCCCAAGCGGGGCCUGCGACUCCAAAAGACACGUGGCGCCAGCUAGUGGUUCUACAGGUGACCAAGCUCAAAGGGAACCAGCUCUAAAACCCAACAAACAAUCGUCGGUCAACUAGCUUAACUCAACCUGAGCUUAAGUCUACACAUUCCAACAGGCGAUGUACCUAAACACACUAGCCCUAACAGAAAGCGGGCACAACAACAUAUGCUACGGGCACAACAACAUAUGCAUGGUCUGAAGGAGGCCUGAAGUGGCCUACUACUUCAGACAGACACCCCAGAUAGCAACUGAUUCAAUGUUGAAAUUCCAUCAGAAUCAUCAUUUUGGUUGAGAUUGAAAAUUCAAUGCUAAAUAAUAUUGAAUCAACGUUGAAAUUUCAAUGCUUUUCAGUGUUGAAAAAUACGAACAUUGAAUCAAUGUUGAUUUUUGGUCAGCUUCAUUUCCCCAGUGGUGGAACUUAGACUAAGCCAUGUCAAUCCAUCUGUCCCCUCAUUCAACACUUUAUUCACAUUAGCAUUCAUGCUCCUCAUGACCCUUCCCUCUAGUCCCACAAAAUAAAUAAAUAAAUAAAUAAAUAAAUAAAUAAAUAAAUAAAAAUCCUGCCAACUGAAGUGUGUAGAUAAACUCCAACCAGUUGGAAGUCAGUGAGAUGAACCAGCUAGACAUUAUUAUUAUUAUAAUGAUGUUACACUUUUUCAACUUAAACACUAAAUUCACAACUACUCAAAACAUCUCACCUGCACUUUAAGGAUCCCGCGUCAGACGUUUUUCUGACGUCACGACGCACGAGCGUCUUGAACUUUCUGCUCGAAUCGAUCAAUUUUCUCGGACUGAAAGGUAGGUUGAACUUGGAAAUUUGUUUUAUUUUAUAUAUUGGAUAAUGCAGCGUUUGAAUGUAUUUUACAGUUAAUUAACGUUGUUUAUGAACAUGAAUAGUAACAGAAUCGUAAUUAAUCGAAUUUAAAAUGAAUUCCUCCUUUACCGUGUAGCAGCUCGAGAUAUUUGAAAUGCUGUGGGCGGGAAGUGCGCGUGGAGCGGGACAAAACGCCCGAGGCUGUGGGGAUUCCUGCAUUAUAAUAUUGAGUUAACUUUUUAAAUUAAUAUUUGUUUGUUCUUUUAUUUGUCUGCCCGAAAUGAUGAUCCAAAUCUGUAAGUAAAGACUUUGUGAACUAACGUUACAUUUGCCUAACUUGGUGUUUUGCUUCGUCCAGGGAAAAAUGUUAGGAUUUUUUUAGUAUAAAUCAUGAAUUUUUUUUUUUUUUUUUUUUUUUUUAGUAGUAACGUUAGUAGAAAUAGUAGAUUAUAAUAGUAGUAUUUGCACAACUAAUUAAUUGACCUAGCAAACAACUUUCAACCACUAAUAAAUGCUGUAAAAAUGUUUCUCCUAUUAGGACCUAAAGCUUUUCAAUGUUUUUUGUUGACUGAGGACACUUUGCAAUACUUGACUGAAAAAAUUCACCUGAGAAGAGUGUGUCCUGUGGGCCUUUUUUUCCUGAGAGAAAGUCCUGAAGACCUCCUCAACGAGUACCUUGAUAACCAGACAGAUGCAGCUCUUCAUGGUGGUGUUAAUUAUUCUGAAGGAGGGGGAGAACUACAUGAACCACCUGCUGACAUUGACAUUGUGAUCGACAUUGUAGUACAUUGUAACAGUCACAUUUCCAAAUAAUUAUGACCCACCUUCCGUCAGUCAUACACUACUACCGAUCAAAUGUUUAAGAACAUUGUGCAGUUCUAACUUCCUGUUUGUUUUUGUAUUCUUUAGAUGCCUUACAACAACAACAAGUGAAGGCUGAGAAAAAGGAGGCCUGAAAGUUUGUAUUUGCUGUUACUGAAAAACUGGCUCUGUUAUGCUCCUGAUCAGCUUGCGGGCAUUGCUCGUGGGACAUACUUUUUGCAUUAGAAGAGUAGCUUCAAUCCUUAAAGCUUCAAGUCCUGAACAGUGAACUCUGGUAGUGUUUCAGUCUGUAGUACUGUGUUUCUGUCUUCGUUGUUGAGUUUCCAUGUCUAUUUACUUCCAUUUUACAGAUACAGGUUGCAUUUAUGUUGUCACGGUUUUCCAGGCUCUUUUUCCAACGACUAAAAUGCAUGUUUGAGCUGUUUUAACUGAAAGUAACUUGCACUGACAUCUUAAAAUUUGUCUUUGCUAUUGUUUUGUCUCAAGAUGAACGCCAAUAAUGUAUUUAUUUAUUUAUUUAUUUAUUUAUUUUUUGACUACUUAACCCCUUUCACAGACAAGGCUUAAACCUAGUCCCAGACUAAAAUGCAUGUCUGAGCUGUUUUAACUGAAAAGAUAUCUCAAAAUAUGUCACUGCCAUUGUUUUGUCUCAAGAUAAACACUUUUCUAAGGCAUGUCUAUAAAAUCUACUUAAAUAAUUGAACUAAGGUCUGAGCCUGGCUUAGCCUAAGCCCUGUCUGUGAAACCAGGGGCCUGUACCAUGAUGGUAGUUGAACAAACUCAGGGUUAUAGGAUUAGUUUCAAGUUGACAAAACCAAACCACUCCAAUCCGGCUUUGUUGGUACCAUGAUGCUGAUCAUCAACUUUCUCUGUCAACUCAGGCUUUGAUCCUGAGUUUGUGGAGCACGUGCACAUGAAUGCGUAACAUCAGUGGCAAACAGCCAAUCACAUGCCUUGCAACAGAAAGAAACUGUGAUUUACUUCUCGCGAGAGAGUCAACGCGAUUCAAAACUCUUUUGCUGAAGAAAAUUAAGAAUUUAAAUGCAUUUACACUAAAGAAGAAACUUUUCCAUGAAAAAGGACAAAUAAAAGAAAUUAUCUUGCUCUAUCAGAGCAAGUGAAAAUUGUCAAGUGUUUAUAUAGUUUAUUAUAUACAGCAAUAGAGACUCAAACAUGUAAGGUUAUGUAGUCAUUUUUAAAGAGUUAUCUGUUGAUUCUACAGCUUACAUAUGAUCUGUAUAUAUUAAUAUUUAUUUAAAAUAAAUGCUUAAUAAUAACUGUUAAACUAAAAUUGCUUGUGUGAAAUGGAUUAAUAAUAUAGAUCAUAUAAUUAUUUAAAUCAUAUAUAAAUCAUAAAAUAAUUCUAUAAAUCAUUAAAGCAAGACAAUUUCAUCGUUAAAUAUUUGUUUUUACUAUAUAGUGAUCUUUAAUUUGGAGGAAGAGAAACUGGGGGAGGGACUUUAUUGUGUUGGAUGUGUCAGUGUCACUUUGCUCACAUCUGAUUGGUCCAAUUUCGGUUUGAGAUCUCUUACCCAGAACAUAACCUGCCCCGGAGCAGGUUAGCUGUGGAGCGUAAGUUACUAUGGUGAUGAACACCGCUAAAAGCCAAGUCACUUUCAUGGUACCUAAAACCAGGAUUGGCACAAACUAAUCUGAAACUUAACUGGCUAGCCAGCUAAUCCGGCUUCAUGGUACAGGCCCCAGGUUUAUUUGUUUGUAACCAUGAAAUGCCAUUUUUACAGCCACUUGUUUUUCUUGAAUGUGAUGUUAAUUCCUGUUCAAACAGUGUGUGGUUAUAAAUAAAUACAUUUGUAUGUAAACUGAAGGAAGUUGUGAAUUUUUCAUUAAAACCAUA
Molecule: long non-coding RNA, 3562 nt
Organism: Ctenopharyngodon idella (grass carp)
Lineage: Eukaryota; Metazoa; Chordata; Actinopteri; Cypriniformes; Xenocyprididae
Exons: 3
Source: RefSeq, a predicted model, not a curated record